RNAcentral lists this ribosomal RNA (253 nucleotides) under uncultured bacterium. RNAcentral's name for it is "partial 16S ribosomal RNA". It matches the Rfam family "Bacterial small subunit ribosomal RNA", at positions 524 to 776 of the family's 1533-position model. The record is from RNAcentral.
GACGUAGGGCGCGAGCGUUGUCCGGAUUUAUUGGGCGUAAAGAGCUCGUAGGCGGCUUGUCGCGUCGUCCGUGAAAACCUGCAGCUCAACUGCAGGCUUGCGGUCGAUACGGGCAGGCUAGAGUUCGGUAGGGGAGACUGGAAUUCCUGGUGUAGCGGUGAAAUGCGCAGAUAUCAGGAGGAACACCGGUGGCGAAGGCGGGUCUCUGGACAGUUCCUGACACUGAGACACGAAGGCCAGGGGAGCAAACGGG